Suricata suricatta (meerkat) is the source of this 347-nucleotide long non-coding RNA. RefSeq lists it as uncharacterized. The record is from RefSeq and is a predicted model, not a curated record. The transcript is spliced from 3 exons. Lineage: Eukaryota; Metazoa; Chordata; Mammalia; Carnivora; Herpestidae.
GGUGAUUUGGUUGUCGCCUAGAUCUCUCCUUUAGAGACAUGAAGGGAUGACCCUCUGAGCUAUCAUAUAAGACAUCGCACAGGAGAAUGAAGACGACCUCGGAAGAGACCCUAAGCCAGAACCACCAAACUGCCCUUAAAUUCCUAGCCCCACAACAGAGACCAGCAGAGAUAGUAAAGGAUUAUUAUUAUUUUCAGCCACUCAGUUGUGUGGUGAUUUGUUAGGCAUCAAUAGAUAACUAAUGCACUGCCAUUUCAUUGGGAAGACUGUCUUUCUAUUCUCUGGCCUAAGAAGAAGAAGAGGAAAAAUACUUGUCAUCUUCUGUAAUAAAUUUUCUCUUCUCUGAA